Spinacia oleracea (spinach) is the source of this 834-nucleotide long non-coding RNA. RefSeq lists it as uncharacterized. The transcript is spliced from 3 exons. The record is from RefSeq and is a predicted model, not a curated record. NCBI's taxonomy places the organism in Eukaryota, Viridiplantae, Streptophyta, Magnoliopsida, Caryophyllales, Amaranthaceae.
CACUUUCCUUUCCUUUCCUUUCCAAUUAUCCUGGAGAGAGAAAAAUGUAGAGUUUCUUUACGUAGUUAGGGUUUCAUCAAAACCUUGGCCAAGUUUAACAAUUUUGGUCUGCGAUUCACAAUUAGGCUCGACCUUAAUUCGAAAUUCUUGCAAUUCUCUGCGAAAUUCAAACGCGAAAUCAUCUGCGAAAUUCCCUCUCACGUCGCUGCUUGAAAUAGUGUGUUCAUCGAGUUGGAGGGUUGAAUUGGGGCUUUGCAUUCGAACAAGUUAGGAUGAGAAAUUCACGAUGAAAGCCAAUAAGGCCAUCUUUCCUAGUCCACACCAUCAGGUUAGAGUUUCAGAAUAUGAAAGAAUGCGGAUGGAGAAUUUGAAAAUGAAUGUGGACAGAAUGACUGCUAAAGGUGCCGGGUUCUUAGCUACGAAAAUACUACAAGAAAAACUUCAUGUUUCGAGUUUUCCAAAUGGAAAUGGCAAUAAACUGGUGGAAUAACCGGAUGAUGAGUCAACAUCUGAGUAUGAUGGAGGCUGUAAUGAGGAUGAAACUACUAGCAACAUGGAAAUUGAAAUUUUCACCCGUCAUAAAAAAAAGGAGCAUGGGGGAGCUAAAUGGAUAAGAAGUGUAGAUCUAGUAAUGAGACGGUGGUGGCUCUUGUUUGCUUUGGGUCGUUUUGUGAUUUCUAGUAACGUUGAAUUUGUUUCUAUGGAUUUUAAUUUUAGUACGGCAUUAAAAACACUAAAUUAAUUAGUGAACAACUAUUUUGUAAUGCAUGUGUUCUAUGGGCACUAAAAUUGUAAUAUUACUCUUCAAGUCAAUGAAAAUAUUUUUGUUAUUGA